This 498-nucleotide ribosomal RNA is filed under the name uncultured bacterium. RNAcentral's name for it is "partial 16S ribosomal RNA". It matches the Rfam family "Bacterial small subunit ribosomal RNA", at positions 28 to 507 of the family's 1533-position model. The record is from RNAcentral.
GACGAACGCUGGCGGCGUGCCUAAUACAUGCAAGUCGAACGAGAGCGACCGGUGCUUGCACUGGUCAAUCUAGUGGCGAACGGGUGAGUAACACGUGGGUAACCUGCCCAUCAGAGGGGGAUAACAUCCGGAAACGGAUGCUAAAACCGCAUAGGUCUUCGAGCCGCAUGGCUUGAAGAGGAAAAGAGGCGCAAGCUUCUGCUGAUGGAUGGACCCGCGGUGCAUUAGCUAGUUGGUGAGGUAACGGCUCACCAAGGCCGUGAUGCAUAGCCGACCGGAGAGGGUGAUCGGCCACAUUGGGACUGAGACACGGCCCAAACUCCUACGGGAGGCAGCAGUAGGGAAUCUUCCGCAAUGGACGCAAGUCUGACGGAGCAACGCCGCGUGAGUGAAGAAGGUUUUCGGAUCGUAAAACUCUGUUGUUAGAGAAGAACAAGUGCUAGAGUAACUGUUAGCGCCUUGACGGUAUCUAACCGGAAAGCCACGGCUAACUACGUG